UUCCAAGCAUCAACAACACUGAUUGCUUGAACAUCCACCUCACCCUCUUGGAGUUUUGGAGCACUUUCAAUCAAGAAUCUCACAAGAUUCAAGCUGGUCAGAUAGAACAGCAUUUUCUGCUGCCACCUCUUGAAAUUCAAGCCGUUGAAUUUCUCCGGCUUUUUCCCAUGGUUAACCGGUACAUUAACCGGAACAUUAGCCACAUGUUGGCUCACAACACGACUUGGCACUUGAGCCACCGUCUGAGCCAUAACAGAGCUAGGCCCUGCAGC
Molecule: long non-coding RNA, 272 nt
Filed under: Olea europaea (common olive)
Lineage: Eukaryota; Viridiplantae; Streptophyta; Magnoliopsida; Lamiales; Oleaceae
Description: long non-coding RNA (OEUR_LNC009075)
Source: RNAcentral